This 492-nucleotide ribosomal RNA is filed under the name uncultured bacterium. RNAcentral describes it as "partial 16S ribosomal RNA". It matches the Rfam family "Bacterial small subunit ribosomal RNA", at positions 29 to 507 of the family's 1533-position model. The record is from RNAcentral.
AGUGAACGCUGGCGGCAGGCCUAACACAUGCAAGUCGAACGGCAGCACAGUAAGAGUUCGCUUCUACGGGUGGCGAGUGGCGGACGGGUGAGGAAUACAUCGGAUACCUCUUUUUCGUGGGGGAUAACGUAGGGAAACCUAUGAUAAUACCGCAUAUGUCCUACGGGUGAAAGCAGGGGUUCUACGCAGUUUUCGCGAUUGUAAUAGCCGAUGUCGGAUUAGCUAGUUGGCGGGGUAAAGGCCCACCAAGGCGACGCUCCGUAGCUGAUCUGAGAGGAUGAUCGGCCACACUGGAACUGAGACACGGUCCAGACUCCUACGGGAGGCAGCAGUGGGGAAUAUUAGGCAAUGGGCGCAAGCCUGAUCGAGCAAUACCGCGUGAGUGAUGAAGGCCUUCGGGUUGUAAAGCCCUGUUGUUAGGAAAGAAGAGCAGCGGGUUAAUCCCCGGCUAUUCUGACGGUACCCAAAGAAUAAGCACCGGCUAACUUCGUG